RNAcentral lists this transfer RNA (73 nucleotides) under Ixodes scapularis (black-legged tick). RNAcentral describes it as "tRNA-Thr". It matches the Rfam family "tRNA". Rfam says of the family: Transfer RNA (tRNA) molecules are approximately 80 nucleotides in length. The record is from RNAcentral. Lineage: Eukaryota; Metazoa; Arthropoda; Arachnida; Ixodida; Ixodidae.
ACCUGGUUAGCUCAGUUGGUAGAGCGCUCCACUUGUAAUGGAGAGGUCCCGGGUUCAAUACCCGGACCAGGCG